GGUACCAUCUAAGUUUUAUACUCUAAGCAUAUAUCAAGGAAGAAUAAGUCUCGAAUGGAGUUCCCCAAGUUUUUGAUUGUUUUCAUUCUCUUAGUUGUUCCGUUUUCAACUGCAACAAAUCCUCUUGGUGAUGAUCCAGGUAAGGGAUAUUGCUUUAAGAAAUGCUAUUCCCAAUUUACAUCGGAGGAUUGCAAUUUCCUAUGCACCCAUGACAUGGGGUUUCAAUCUGGAGCAUGUGAAUUUGGUGUUUGUUGUUGUCGCCACCCGAAGCUAAUGUAUUAAAUCUGCAUAUUAAAAAAAUAUAAUAAAAUAUAUAUGUUUUUUAUGGUUGAA
Long non-coding RNA from Lycium ferocissimum, 333 nucleotides. RefSeq lists it as uncharacterized. The record is from RefSeq and is a predicted model, not a curated record. The transcript is spliced from 2 exons. Lineage: Eukaryota; Viridiplantae; Streptophyta; Magnoliopsida; Solanales; Solanaceae.